UUUAACCCUAAUUCCCCUUCCCCUUCCCCUUCCCCCAUCUCCUCCCAUACCAACCAUCAGCCGCCGCCACCUAUCCUCGCGUCGCUCUAUGUCGGCACCGGCGGCGCCGACACUAAACCACCCCCCGCCAGGUCUCUCCUCAUCUAUCCCGCUCCAGACCCCUCCCUGUCUACCCCAUGCCAUGCCCCUCCCCAUUCAGAUCGCGGCCUCGAGAUACGGCGGCCCAGUGCUACACUUCGAGCUGAGACGGCAGCGGUGGCGGCAGGACGGCAUGCCGGAUCAAGUCCCCGUGGUCAUCAGCGGCGGGCACGGAUCCAGCUCCAUCCAGCUGCGGGUAUGGAUCCAGGUCCAUCCGGCGGCGGGCACAGAUCCAGAUCCAUCCGGCUGAGAGCCAAUGUGAGUGAGGAAUCUCCAACCCCCACACUCUUCUCCUCAGCUAUUUUGUUCUUCGGGAUUGAGUUCUUACACUCCUUAUUUGGGUCGGGGGAUCUGCAGUUUAUUCUCAUGGGGAUGGUCAGCUCUGCAGGUUUGUUUCAUCAUCUCAGAUUGUUGUUGCGUGUACACAUGCAUCUUUUUAUUUUCCUGUUAGCUUCGAUUGCCUUGGAUGGAACCAUCUCAAUAUGCAUGAAUAUUGUUUGGUAUAUACACUUCUUCUGUUCUUUUGCCUUUACGAGUAAUACGGAAUGUUGCUGUGAAAUGUUAUGCUUGUUAAUUACCUGAAUAUUUUAUGUAAAAUGUGAUUGACCAUGCCGGUGUCAGAGUUCAAUUGUCUUGGUGUGCAUAGUGGUCCGUGAACCAUAGUUGGCUGUAAUAUUUGUUGACAUGGCAAGGUUGUAUACUGGACCAUAACACCCUAUUUUACUUGUCCUUAUUUGUUUGAUGAAACGACUGUAUUUUGGUAUCUGCUCCUGCCUCCAGUGUAUUAACUAUGGUAUUGUAUAUUUCUCAAAAAACUAUGGUUCUGUAUGUACUUCAGAUCCAUACUUCCACUUUAGAUAUCAAAUAAAAUUCGUCAGGUGUUGCAGAUUUUAAUGUUAUAUAUACAUAUUUAUUAUCGUCCUAAUGGCUUUUUUGUUGUCUACUUGAUAGAUUAUAUAAUAGCAUGCAUUUGAAACAAAUCUGCACGUUAUGGAAGUUUGUACAUUAGAACUGGGAAGAAAGGUCAAGCCAAUUUCAUCACUAGCAUGAGACUUGGCAAUAUUGCAAGGUGGAGCGGACGGCACCGGCCGCAUUGAUUUCAUUAGAUGCAGAGGUGAUGGAUUUUAUACUAUUGUUUUUCUGGAAAUGCGUGUGCAUAGUUCCAAUCUCAAGGACCGAUGGAAAUGAAGAUUACACAUUUUUCUUUAAGACUACUAAAAGAUGGUUUGGCAGUUUGGAGAUUGAAGUGCUUUGAAUAGCCGUCGGGAAGCGGUGGUGUAGUGUUGGAUAUUAAAAAUCAGCUAAUAGUGCAUCUUUUUCUUGGAAGUUAUGUUACUUGAAAUAUAAAAAAAAUGCUUAUAUCGCUUUCUAGAUAUGCUUCUGAUGUUUUGAUAUUAAGAUUUGUUUUUUGGAAUCAGACUAGAUUGUUGGAACUCUGUAUUGUCAUGUGAACAAUUGCUAUUUUUUGAAUGGAUAUAAUUUGAUUGUCUUGUUGUAA
Molecule: long non-coding RNA, 1636 nt
Organism: Triticum aestivum (bread wheat)
Lineage: Eukaryota; Viridiplantae; Streptophyta; Magnoliopsida; Poales; Poaceae
Exons: 3
Source: RefSeq, a predicted model, not a curated record